AAAAAAUAAAACUGCAUAAAUAACGAAUUUUGCGGCUUGAUUUGCCUUCGUUCCGGUUAUGUCUCUGCGCUAUAAAAAGCAUUAAGUGUUUUUUUUUUUUCAAAAAGUGUCAAAAGCUGAUACAUAAAGCAACAACUCAAGCGAAAUUGCUAUUUUGACUGUUCACUUGUCAAUUUGUCAGCUGUUGCCUGCAGCGUCGCUCAUAGCAAAUCGAGGUCAAGCAAAUACAUGCUGUCAUACAUAUGUAUACAACGAUUGGCAUUUGAAUGGAAACCGGAGUUUCACACAAUAUAAAAUUUUAGUGGAAAAGCAAAUAUUAUUUAAAAACAUCUUACAUUUCUAAAAACUAAAUUUUUUGUUAAAAAAAUAAAUUUUUUAUAUUAUGUUUCAAUUA
This is a long non-coding RNA of Bactrocera oleae (olive fruit fly), 394 nucleotides long. RefSeq lists it as uncharacterized. Lineage: Eukaryota; Metazoa; Arthropoda; Insecta; Diptera; Tephritidae. The record is from RefSeq and is a predicted model, not a curated record.